ACCCUAUUUCCUUUUCGCUCUUGAGAUGUGGUCUGGUGGGAUAUCGGGUAUCCGUCCGAAGGUCGUUUAAAUAUUAGUUAUAUAUAAUGUGUACAUAUAUAGUCAUAAAGGUUCUUCCAGUUCAGUUCAAUACCCUUGGGUAGCAAGGGUACACAUCCAUGUACAUACGUACCAGUUACAUUACAAGUAAGCUACCGUAUGGGUAGUUUAGGAAGAUACUAGGACUAUUGCUAGAACGCGAUAUCAUACAAUGAGUCAGUUCAUUCAUGAGUCAAUACUUGCUAGAUAGAGGGAACAUACAUUACAACUAGUACACACAGUACGUUAUUAUACAUGCUAGAUAGAGAGAGAACAUACAUUACAGCUAGCACACGCAGAAUAUUUCAGUACACACAGGCUAGAUGGAGGAAGAUUACACUUUCAGUUAGCACAUUUAUUACAUAUACGUUUAUGCAGUUAUGUGAAUCAUUGAGUGGGUCAUGGCACUUCCUGCCAUGACCGUUCUUGUAUCCAGAAUCUCCUUAAUUGGAGAGUGUAUGAGUUUGCGUAUAGAUCUAUACUGGAUUGACUAUCCUACACGUUGCUGCUCGCUACAGUGGGACUUGCAAGUCUACGGGUGCCAAAUGUCAUUUCUUACGGCGUCUUACAUCAUCGUUUUACUAGAGUCGGUAGCAGGAUACAGGUCGAUCACAUGUUAUGUUGAAUACCUUUUUGUUUUAAGGUAGUUAGUACGGUUGUAGUCAUUUGACACUACAACAUACUACUAUUUCAUUUUCCCAUUACAUUCACACGACGCACGGUAAUGUAGAAACUAUAUUUUUGGUUAAUGAUAGUCAGACUUGGGAAAAUACACACUCUCACAAGAGACACACAAACAGACACUAGAUGCCUUGGUAGAAGGCUACAUAUAGAUCAGUUAAGUGUUGGUAGAAGACUCCCUGUUAUAAUAGUAGGAAUCAUAGGGAUUUCUAGAGUUUACCAAAAGUUUACAGUUGUUUUACUUACGUUUUCAAUACUUACAAUUCAUACAUACAAAUCUAGACACUAAAAUACUUAUGAUCUCACAGCUUCAAAAGCUGAUACUCUCUUUCAAAAUAACUUGUAUCCUCAGGUCAACCAUAGACAGGUACCGAUACAAGGUUCAGGAAGAUGGUGCUCGACCAAGACACAUCUUUCAUUUUGAUUUAUGCUUUAGUGUUUAUCAGAAAUUGACAGAACACAAUCGUAUAAUAAUUAUAUUAUUAAUGCAAUGGAUGAUGUUGUUGCUUGUUUAGUACUUUUCAUUGUUGUGAUACUGUACAUGACGUCCUCCGCCACAGAACGUUUCCGCCAUUCUUGGUUUUGGGGUGUGACAGAUUAAUAUCAGAGCAUUGUUUAUAGUGAAUUAUGUAUAUCAACCCAUAAAAGAUAUACUAACUAUAAAUACAUAAGGGAAUAAAAAUACUUUGACCAAGAGUUUAUGCUUUAAAUAUUAAAAUAUUUAAAUAAGUAUACGUGCUGUAUUCAUACUAAAAUCAGUGUCACUAGGACAGUACAAAAGAAUUAUGAUUGUUGGGCAACACAGGUGGACUUAGAGACAUAUAGUCAAAACUGGGAAGAUAUAGCAUGAUCAACUAUAUUAUCCGAGGGUUGACUAGCAUGUGCCUAAGUGUAGUUGUGUGGUUGCAACAAUGCUAAAAUCUUACCAACCCUACCACAAUGAGAACUGUAGAACAUAACAGUAAAAUUAAAAUACUAUAGGAGUAUAUGGUGUUACUAUAAGUACCUUAUACUUGAGAACUAAAACAGGAUCUUCAUUACUAAGUUGAUAAUUGCUAAGUGGAUACACUAAGGAUAUAUAUAAUUAGGAUGUUCUAGACUUAGAAUCUAUGAAAUUUUACUUUACCCCUAUUCUGUGUGAAUACGGAGUUAAGGUCACUUAUUCGACGGUCUAUCCUGUUUAGAUUACACAUAACUGGUAUGCACUUCACAAAUAGAGAUGCAACUAAUGAAUGUUUCCAAAAUAAUUAUCUAGAUAGUUCGUCUAAUAAUUAUUCUCUUACCCUAGAUUCCCACAUAGAAAACAUAGCUGGACUCCAUCCCCACGGCAACCAGUAUCUUCCGAAUGAAGUCAUGGCUAGUUGGUUUGGAGAAGAACUAGAGAAUGAUCAUCCUAUCCCUUUGAAUGAUCACCAUGAUGAAAACCUUUCAGACGGUGCUAAUUCCGAACCAGAGGUUGAGAAUCUACUCCAGGCAGUUCCCGUUCCAAUUCCUAACCCUCGUCCGGCUUUUCAUGGCCCGACCCCUGAGUGGGUGGAAUGCUUGGAAACAUGGAGCCAAGGUCAAGGUCAGCCCAUGCCAUUUAAUGACAACCGAAGCUUUUAUGACCUAAGCAAUGGGGGCUCAACAGACAGAACCUUGUCAAUCUUGGUCCGCAGAGUGGCCCGAAAUGAGAUUCAAGACGGGACAGCCCUACGUCAGAUUACCAAAGUUGUCACCGAUGCUAGAAUGCAUACCCUCCGCACCAUUCGUCUAGAAGAUGCUCGCGAGAGAUCAGAGAGAAACCAUGAAACCCUGCUUCAAGCACUAGCUGAAUCACAAGCCGAAGUCAUAGAGCUCCGAGUACACCAGAGGGUGUGCGAAAGACACCUACUUGAUAUGGAAUGUCAACUGGCUGAACUGAGAGUUCACCAGAAGGAUGGCCGUCGCCAGUAGUAGAUGCUUUACUUUAUUUUUUUUCCUUGUUAAAAGGAAUCGUUUUUCUGUCCAUGCCCGAUGUGGCAUUUUCUAUGAAGUUAUCUUGUACCGUAAGUACUUUUGGUUAGGUCUUCAUGCUGUCAAGAACUAUCUUCUCUGGAUAUGAUGUAUGACCUUUACAAGGUCAUGUUUUGUCACACCCCGAAAACCGAAGGUGGAAACAUUUUCGGGGUUGACUCCACGUUGAGUAUCAAAUCCAAUGUACAUAGUAAGUAAAGUAGAACAACCAUUACAUUAUAUAUAGAAAACUUUUACAAUUGUUUCAAAAGUAAAGUUGUACAGUUGUGAUACAUAUUAUAUACAUAUAUNNNNNNNNNNNNNNNNNNNNNNNNNNNNNNNNNNNNNNNNNNNNNNNNNNNNNNNNNNNNNNNNACAAGCGGUUUGAACAUCAGCAUAACGCUGGUGAGUUCAUAAGCGUUUUUGUUUGUGAAAUUGUUCAAGUUUCCUUUCUGUUUCUGAAAUGUUAUGCACACCAAGAAAAUCCCAUAUUUUCUUAAUAAAGUUGGUUAUCGUUUGUCAACAUGUAAAGUAGAGUUGUACACUGAAAACAUGUUUACUUUUGUGAAAAUGUAAAGUUAGGUUAUCUGGUUUGACGUACUGUUCUGGUUAUGUACUAAUGUAUUCCCAGGAAAGCCCCAUACCUUCGUGAUUUUAAGUUACCAUUUGUCAAAGAUGUAAGGUUAUCCAGUUUGUUACACUUAUCUAGUUGUGUAAAUGUUUUCCCAGGAAAGCCCCAUGCUUUCCUGAAUGUUGGUUACCUUUUUGUAAAAGUUGUAUUCCGGUUAGACCUGGUUAUGUGCAAGGUUUCCCAGGAAAGUCCCAUACUUUCCUGAAUGUUGGUUUUCAAUGUAAAAGAUGUAUAAAGUUAUUCAUUAUUACUAUAAGUAAAUCUCUGUUAUCCUAAUUACGAGUUCCAUAACCAUACUAUAGACUGAACCUGUGGCAAUAAGUAGUCCACAACCUUAUGACUUUCGACACCCUUGAACCAUUUCGGUUCGACUGUAGCUAGCAGCCAGGUGUGGGGCAGUCAGCCCCGUAUAGAUCUAUACACUCAAGUCACGCUCUCUAAAUCCCAGAGAUUAUGGUUACGGGCGUAGUCCUCCACUUGCGUAUCUCUGUGGAGUGUUCGCCGAGGACGUGUCUCCAAUCAUACAGGAAUAACAAAUUUACUAGUAAUAAUAUGAUAAUCCUCCACUCGCGUAUCUCUGUGGAGUGCUACCGAGGACAAGACAAUGUACAAGUUAUAUUGUUCAUGUGUUCUAAUGUCAUGCUUUUAACUGAUAAAAUGUGGAAAACAUUUGUGAAAUAUAUAAAACAUAACAGUUUAUAAAACUCAUUUCACAGAUAAAUGUUUACGUGAUCUGCAUGCUCGAAUGGUUAUCAGUUGUAUCAAUCAGUAUUAAAAUCAUAUAAAGUAUGAAACACACACACGAAAAACAAGUUUUUGAGUACAAGAAACCCUUGUACUUUGCUUGUGUUCCCCCCCUAAAAACAGUGAAAAACAGUGAAAAAGGGUAGGGGUAUGAGCUCACCAGACUCGGAAAUGCGACAGUUUCGGACACUAGACGUUGGUUCGGGGCUUGAUUACUCGCGAUGUCCCUAUGUAAAAUGUAAUAAUGUCCAUAUAUAACUAAUUAGAUUUACAAUUACUAAUUAUAUGGAACAUUACACUCCAACGAGGUUAAACACCUCAAAACGAGUGUUUGGAGUGACCCGGGUGACAUCUUCGGACGUAUAAUAGCACUAAGGACUUAGGAAUUGAGUUUACUCCCCAAGAGUAAACAUAUUAGGGAGUUUACGGCCAUAUAUCACACACGCAUGAGUUCACGGCCGUGAACUCAUGUUUGGGUAGUUUUGGAUGCUAAAAUGGCUUAAAUGGACAAGGGAAUGUUGGAAUGAACUUCUAAAAUGCCUUGGAUUAAUUUGUUUAGAUUUAUACCAUUUAAAAGGGAGUUCACGGCUGUAAACUUGGAGGUUACGGCCGUAAAAUAUCCUAUGGUCAAGAGAAAAUUGAUUUGAGGCACUUAGAGCAAUCACAUGUGUUUCUAGUUAAUUUUCCAAGCUUUGGGAUGGUUUAAAGGCAUCAAAUGACACACUUUUAUGAGUUUGUGCUAUGGUCGUAAACUCCUAAAUGUGGUGUUUUGUUAUGUUUAAGGCCUCCACACUAAUUUUAGAUGGUUUUAUGAUUUAUUCCAAGGCUAUUAAUUAAGUUUUAAGGCAUUCUAACAUGUAUAAGGGUGUUUACUCCCCAUGUUUGAGGAGUUUACGGCCCAAGAACAAGCCUUGGCUGUAAACUCUCUUUUGUCCUUCAAAAUUCAUGCUUUAAGUGUUUCAAGUCCCAAUUUGUAAGCCUCAAAGUCAUAUCUAAAUCCCAACAAUGAUUUGGAAGGGUUAAUUGGCUUAAAAACCCCAUUUUUAAGUGUUUACGGCCCAAGCUUGAUCCUUGGCCGUAAACACAUGUUCUAGGUCCUAAAACUCAAUUUAAACAUCAAUUUGAAGGCUAAAGAGGUUAGAUAACAAGUUAGGGAUGUUACCUCUUUGAUUUGGAGCCUUAAAUCUUUGUUUUUGGACCUUUGAUUAUGGAUGAGGAGAGAGGUUGGAGAGUGAUUAAGGAAAGAUGGCCAAAAGCUUCAAAUGAAAGCUUUGAGUCCUUUAAAUAGUGCUCGGGAAUUGGACACGACGGAAUUCUACCCGAUACCGGCGUUAGGCGGGGCUUUUGGUCGCACCCGACCAAGUUGCCGUAACCCGAUAUGGUCGAUUCUAGAAUUAUUCCGAUAACUAUUAUGGGGUGUUAGAAUGAUUUCAAAUGGCAUUAAGACACCCAUUAAGUCAUUUUAGAUCAAUACAAGUUAAUGACUUAAUUAAAUGGCGAAAUCGGAAACGGAUUUGGAAACGGCGUUUGGUUGAUCGAAUUGGAUUACAAUUUGAGUUACAAGAAGUGAUAUGAAAUUUCGGGUUGUUACAUUAUCCCCCCGUUAGAGGGAAUUUCGUCCCAAAAUUCAAGACAAGAUACAAGACAAAAUACAAAUCAUGGAUCUAGAAAGAGUUGCGGAUACUUCUGUUUCAUCGAGUCUUCCCGCUCCCAAGUGAACUCCGGUCCCCGCUUGGCAUUCCAGCGAACCUUCACUAACGGGAUGCGACUUUGUUUCGUACGUUUGACUUCUCGAUCCAUGAUUUCGAUCGGUUCCUCCACGAAGUUGAGGUUUUCAUCGAUCUCGAUCUCGUCUAAAGGAAUCACUAGGGUUUCAUCGGAUAGGCACUUCUUGAGAUUUGAAACAUGGAAGACGGGAUGGAUGUUACUGAGCUCGUGAGGUAAACGAAGUUUAUAGGCUACCGGACCAAUCCUGGCGAGGAUCUCGAAAGGUCCAAUGUACCUCGGAUUAAGUUUCCCACGCUUACCAAAGCGUACAAUGCCUUUCCAGGGCGAGACCUUCAACAGGACAUGGUCUCCAACCUGGAAUUCCAAUGGUUUCCGACGGUUAUCAGUGUAACUCUUUUGGCGAUCACAUGAAGCUUUCAGUCGUUCUCGGAUUUGGAUGAUCAUCUCGGUGGUUUCACGGAUGAUUUUAGGACCAGUGAAAGCACUGUCCGGGACUCGACCCUUGGCUAACUGUGUAUCCCCCACCUCGGCCCAGCACGGAGGGGAUCUACUCUUGUGACCGCAUAGGGCUUCAAACGGGGCAGCCCUAAUGCUGGUGUGGUAACUAUUGUUGUACGAGAAUUCGAUCAAAGGUAGAUGUGCGUCCCACGACUUUCCAAAGUCAAUGACACAUGCCCUAAGCAUGUCUUCCAGAGUUUGGAUUGUUCUCUCACUCUGUCCAUCUGUCUGAGGAUGAUACGCCGUGCUCAUAUCUAGUUUGGUUCCAAGAGAUUUCUGGAGAGACUGCCAAAAUCGGGAGGUAAACCUGCUAUCUCGAUCAGAGAUAAUGGACGCAGGUACACCGUGCAGUCGAACUACCUCUUGGAUAUAAAUCCGCGCGAGUCUUUCCAUCUUGUAUGAUUCAUUGAUUGGAACGAAGUGAACGGACUUGGUUAAACGGUCAUCAAUUACCCAAAUGGUAUCAUACCCACUCGGACACCUGGGUAGUUUGGUGAUGAAAUCCAUGGUGAUCAUCUUCCAUUUCCAUUCGGGUAUCGCAGGUUGUUGGAGCAGACCCGAGGGUUUCUGGUGCUCAACUUUUACCUUGGCGCAAGUCAGACACUUGCCUACAAAUGUAGCUAUCUCAGCCUUCAUGUUUGGCCACCAAUAUUGUUUCUUGAGAUCUAAGUACAUCUUGUCAGAGCCCGGGUGAACAGAGUAUCUGGUUCUGUGCGCUUCCUCCAUAACUAUCUCUCUGAAUCCUCCGAACUUGGGAAUCCAGAUCCGAUCCAUGAAACAAUGGACUCCGUUACCUCUGAUCUCAAGUUUCUUUUCCAUUCCUCUCAAGGAUUCGGUCGACACAUUCUCAGGUUUGAGGGCUUCUAAUUGGGCUUCUCGGAUUUGCAUGGGUAGGUUGGAAUGCAUGGUCAUCGUCUGGUUAUUCACUUUACGGCCUGCACUCUCCUUUCGGCUAAGGGCAUCUGCUACCACAUUGGCCUUGCCAGGAUGGUAACGGAUUUCACACUCAUAAUCACUGAGUAGUUCUACCCAUCACCUUUGUCUCAUGUUUAAGUCUUUCUGGUCAAAGAUGUGUUGCAGGCUCUUGUGAUCGGUGAAAAUCGUGCACUUGGUUCCGUAGAGGUAAUGUCUCCAAAUCUUCAAUGCAAAGACCACGGCUCCUAACUCCAAGUCGUGUGUGGUAUAGUUGACCUCGUGUGUUUUCAACUGUCUAGAAGCAUAGUCAAUUACUUUUCCUUUUGCAUAAGCACACAGCCUAAUCCUUGAUUAGACGCAUCGCAAUAGACAACGAAGUCCUCUGUCCCUUCGGGUAGGGACAGAACAGGCGCGCUGCACAAGGCUUUCUUUAGCGUCUGGAAUGCGGUUUCUUGCUUAUCACUCCAACAAAAGGGUACACCUUUCUGUGUUAGAGUGGUUAAGGUUUUGGCGAUUUUAGAAAAGUUCUGGAUGAAUCUUCGAUAAUAGCCAGCGAGACCCAAAAAUUGCCGGAUUUCUGUGGGUGUCUUCGGUGCUGACCAAUUCUCUACCACCUUUAUAUUGGAAGGAUCUACAUGAAUACCCUCCUCGCUUACUACAUGACCAAGGAAAGUUACCUUCCGAAUCCAGAACUCGCAUUUUGAAAAUUUCGCGUACAACUUUUCGGAUCGCAGGGUUUCCAACACUAGCCUUAAGUGUUGUUUCUGGUCUUCUUCGCUUCGGGAAUAGACAAGUAUGUCAUCAAUGAACACAAUGACAAACUUGUCCAGAUAAGGACGAUACACCCGGUUCAUCAGGUCCUUGAACACCGUCGGUGCGUUGGUUAGACCAAAGGGCAUCACUACGAACUCAUAGUGUCCAUAUCGAGUCCUGAAAGCUGUUUUGGAUACAUCACUUUCAUGAACUCGUAACUGAUGGUACCCUGAUCGAAGGUCUAUCUUGGAAAAGUAACUGGAUUUCUGGAGUUGAUCGAAGAGGUCAUCUAUUCAUGGAAGAGGAUAUCGGUUUUUGACAGUCAACUUGUUCAGCUCGCGAUAACCGAUACACAUACGAAAGGAUCCAUCUUUCUUCUUGACAAACAAAACCGGAGCUCACCAGGGUGAGGAACUCGUCCUAAUGAAUCCUUUACUGAGCAACUCAUUGAGUUGACUUGAUAACUCCUGGAACUCUGCUGGAGCUAAGCGAUACGGAGACUUCGCUACAGGAGUAGCUCCAGGAAUUAGGUCAAUACGGAACAAGACUUGACGCUCGGGAGGGAUUCCUGGAAGCUCUUCGGGAAACACAUCAGGAAAGUUACAGACUUCGGGGAUGCUCGCGAGGUCUUUAACUUCCUGCUUCUCGUUGAUUACAUGGGCCAAGAAUGCAAUACACUCCUUUCNUUCCGGCCGGUUCCCCGGUUCAUAUGCUCAUCCCUACGAAGGUUGGAACCGAGUUUAUCGCCAUAGAUUACGAGAGUUUCACCUGAAGGAAGGUUGAGACGGAUGGCUUUUUCGAAACAAAGGACAUCCACAUGAUUGGGACUCAACCAAUCCAUGCCAAUGAUGACAUCAAAGCUCUUUAUGGAUACCAGCAUAAGAUCGAUAGUAAACGAAUGGUCGUUCAGGGUAAGGGUACAACCUACGAACACCUCGCUAGCGCUUUCCUUCUCUCCGUUAGCCAUCUCGACGGUAAACAUUUCAGUUAAAGGUUGGGAAUUAUGCUUUAGGUUAUGUUUGAAUGCAUGACUAAUAAAGCUCCUCUCAGCACCCAAAUCGAAAAGAAUAUCAGCAUAUGAGUUGUCGAGAAGGAACGUACCCGAGACAACGGUGGGAUCGGCGACCGCUUCCACCCGUCCCAUGGCGAGGACCCUUCCGGUGUUAUCAGCAGUAGACUUUUUGGGGUAGUUUCUUUUAAAGUGCCCAGCCUCACCACAGUUGUAGCAGGCUUGACCAACGCCUGCUCCCGAAGAUUGAUUGGCCGAUUGGGUCGGAGCUUUGCAGAAUCGGACUGAGUGCCCCUUCUUACCACAAUUUGUACAGGAAAGUUCUCGACAGGGGCCAGGAUUGUGGUGAUACUUGCACUUGUCACAGAGAGGGAGAUUACCAGCAUACCGGCUGGUACGAGUUGGAGCUGUAGAUCCCACAACAGAAACAACAGCAACGAGGGUAGUAGCAGCAUGAACUGCUACUGUUUGCUGUCUUUUGGAGGAUCCUUGAGAAGAUUGACCCUUCUUCUUCUUCCAAAAUUUCCUUUUCUCACCACUACUUUUAGUCAACUCAGGGGCGGUGGUGGUUUCCUCGACAUCAUCACUGUGGUCAAUUAUGGCUUGGGCUAAAGUCUUAGCACUAUCAUAUGUGUCCGGGCGAGCAGCUAAGACAUGACCUUUUGAUGGAUUGGUUAGCCCCCAAAUAAACAUCUCGAUCUUUUUGCUUUUAGGAGUGACCAAACCAGGGCAGAGAAGGGCAAGAUCAUCGAAUCGGGAAGUGUAUGCAGCAAUGUCGGAACCUUUCAUCUUCAGGUUCCAGAGCUCAUGCUCUAGGUUCUGCAUUUCACCACGGGGAAAUUAUUCGGCAAGGAGGAGUUCUUUCAUGGCGUUCCAGCCCACGGCAUUGGCUAUGGGUAGGGUCAAGGAUUUGACUCGGCCAUUCCACCAAGUCAAGGCUUUAUUACUGAAGGUACAGGCUGCAAAUUUGACCUUAUCGGACUCAGCACAUGCACAGAUUUCGAAAAUGGAUUCGAUUUUCUCGAACCAUCGGGAUAGGAAAAUGCCACCUCCAGUGCCAUCAAAGGAUGUUGGUUUUGCAUUCAUGAAAUCCUUAUAGGAACCUUCCUUUCGGUGUCCCUGAUUGCUUUAUUAAUCUUGAGUACCACCUCCCGAACCACCGGAACCACUGGUGUUCAAUUGGGACAUGGCAGCUGCCACCGCGACGGUAACAACUGUCUGGAAUAACACGAGAUCAAUUUCAGGAGGAGGCGGUGGUGGACGGUUGUUGGUCUUUGAGUUGGGUCUCUUUCUGGGAGGCAUCUUAGUCUAAUAAGAUCAAGAAAGAGAUGAUGAUAAGUCCUUUGAGUUGAAUCGAGAGAUAUGACAGAUAUUAAUUCCAAAUAAGCGAUAUAACAGGAAAGAGUUAUUGAAGCAAGUAAACUAUCGCUAAUGGAAUGAUCGAGGAUCUAUACGUGAACGAGGAUUUGUACAAAGAAUUAGCUCGAGAAAUACUCCCAUAGUAUUUCAUGAUUCGUUACUACACUGGCGCGAUGUUUGUGGUAUUAGGGUAAGUUUUAGGCAUGCCGCAUACUACAGUCACUCCCAAGCACAUGUUGGUCGUGUCUCGAAUGAAUAUAGUUGGUCAGGCUAUAUUGACCCUAGACAUGACUACAUAACUGCCCAGGUUUAACCGCAGUGUACAACACCUAUUUACUUAUGUUUUGUUCUACUUGUAGUUACGGAUCUCGACGAUUCGGUAUACUUAUAUGCUUUUUGAAAAAACUUAUAUUUUGAAGGAUAAUUUUAGUUCAGAGCACUUAGGCCCCUUAAUGUUUAUAGUUUUAUACCAUGUAAGGUUUGGUAUACUUCAUUCACUAUAAACAAGGGCUCUGAUACCAAUCUGUCACACCCCGAAAACCGAAGGCGGAAACAUUUCCGGGGUUGACUCCACGUUGAGUAUCAAAUCCAAUGUACAUAGUAAGUAAAGUAAAACAACCAUUACAUUACAUAUAUAAGUUUUACAAUUGUUUUCAAAAGUAAAGUUGUACAGUUGUGUUACAUAAUAUAUAUAUAUAUGAACAAAAUGAAACGGGUCAUCUGAGCACUCCGACUUCGGGCAAAAGGAUCUUUGGUACCUCUUCUAACGUUAACCUAAGAACACAAGCGGUUUGAACAUCAGCAUAACGCUGGUGAGUUCAUAAGCGGUUUUGUUUGUGAAAUUGAUCAAGUUUCCUUUCUGUUUCUGAAAUGUUAUGCACACCAAGAAAAUCCCAUAUUUUCUUAAUAAAGUUGGUUAUCGUUUGUCAACAUGUAAAGUAGAGUUGUACACUGAAAACAUGUUUACUUUUGUGAAAAUGUAAAGUUAGGUUAUCUGGUUUGACGUACUAUUCUGGUUAUGUACUAAUGUAUUCCCAGGAAAGUCCCAUACCUUCCUGAUUUUAAGUUACCAUUUGUCAAGNGGUUUGACGUACUGUUCUGGUUAUGUACUAAUGUAUUCCCAGGAAAGCCCCAUACCUUCGUGAUUUUAAGUUACCAUUUGUCAAAGAUGUAAGGUUAUCCAGUUUGUUACACUUAUCUAGUUGUGUAAAUGUUUUCCCAGGAAAGCCCCAUGCUUUCCUGAAUGUUGGUUACCUUUUUGUAAAAGUUGUAUUCCGGUUAGACCUGCUUAUGUGCAAGGUUUCCUAGGAAAGUCCCAUACUUUCCUGAAUUUUGGUUUUCAAUGUAAAAGAUGUAUAAAGUUAUUCAUUAUUACUAUAAGUAAAUCUCUGUUAUCCUAAUUGUGAGUUCCGUAACCAUACUAUAGACUGAACAUGUGGCAAUAAGUAGUCCAAAACCUUAUGACUUUCGUCACCCUUGAACCAUUUCGGUUCGGUUGUAGCUAGCAGCCAGGUGUGGGGUAGUCAGCCCCGUAUAGAUCUAUACACUCAAGUCAUGCUCUCUAAAUCCCAGAGAUUCUGGUUACGGGUGUAGUCCUCCACUCGCGUAUCUCUGUGGAGUGUUCGCCGAGGACGUGUCUCCAAUCAUACAGGAAUAACAAAUUUACUAGUAAUAAUAUGAUAAUCCGCCACUCGCGUAUCUCUGUGGAGUGUUACCGAGGACAAGAUAGUGUACAAGUUAUAUUGUUCAUGUGUUCUAAUGUCAUGCUUUUAACUGAUAAAAUGUGGAAAACAUUUGGGAAAUAUAUAAAACAUAAGAGUUUAUAAAACUCAUUUCACAAAUAAAUGUUUACGUGAUCUGCAUGCUCGAAUGGUUAUCAGUUGUAUCAAUCAGUAUUAAAAGCAUAUAAAGUAUGAAACACACACACGAAAAACAAGAUUUUGAGUACAAGAAACCCUUGUACUUUGCUUGUGUCCCCCCUAAAAGCAGUGAAAAACAGUGAAAAAGGGUAGGGGUAUGAACUCACCAGACUCGGAAAUGCGACGGUUUCGGACACUAGACGUUGGUUUGGGGCUUGAUUACUCGCGAUGUCCCUACGUAAAAUGUAAUAAUGUCCAUAUAUAACUAUUUAGAUUUACAAUUACUAAUUAUAUGGAACAUUACACUUCAACGAGGUUAAAAACCUCAAAAAGAGAGUUUGGAGUGACCCGGGUGACAUCUUCGGACGUAUAAUGGCACUAGGGACUUAGGAAUUGAGUUUACUCCCCAAGAGUAAACAUGUUAGGGAGUUUACGGCUAUAUAUCGCACACACAUGAGUUCACGGCCGUGAACUCAUGUUUGGGUAGUUUUGGAUGCUAAAAUGGCUUAAAUGGACAAGGGAAUGUUGGAAUGAACUUCUAAAAUGCCUUGGAUUAAUUUGUUUGGAUUUAUACCAUUUAAAAAGGAGUUCACGGCUGUAAACUUGGGGUUUAGGGCCGUAAAAUCUCCUAUGGUCAAGAGAAAAUUGAUUUGAGGCACUUAGAGCAAUCACAUGUGAUUCUAGUUAAUUUUCCAAGCUUUGCGAUGGUUUAAAGGCAUCAAAUGACACACUUUUAUGAGUUUACGGCCUAAGAUUAUGUGCUAUGGCCGUAAACUCCUAAAUGUGGUGUUUUGUUAUGUUUAAGGGCUCCAAACUAAUUUUAGAUGGUUCUAUGAUUUAUUCCAAGGCUAUUGAUUAUGUUUUAAGGCAUUCUAACAUGUAUAAGGGUGUUUACUCCCCAUGUUUUAGGAGUUUAUGGCCCAAGAACAAGCCUUGGCCAUAAAAUCUCUUUUGUCCUUCAAAAUUCAUGUUUUAAGUGUUUCAAGUCCCGAUUUGUAAGCCUCAAAGUCAUAUCUAAGUCCCAAUAAUGAUUUGGAAGGGUUAAUUGGCUUAAAAACCCCAUUUUUAAGUGUUUAUGGCCCAAGCUUGAUCCUUGGCCAUAAACACAUGUUCUAGGUCCUAAAACUCAAUUUAAACAUCAAUUUGAAGGCUAAAGAGGUUAGAUAACAAGUUAGGGAUGUUACCUCUUUGAUUUGGAGCCUUAAAUCUUUGUUUUUGGACCUUUGAUUAUGGAUUAGGAGAGAGGUUGGAGAGUGAUUAAGGAAAGAUGGCCAAAAGCUUCAAAUGAAGGCUUUGAGUCCUUUAAAUAGUUUUCGGGAAUUGAACACGGCGGAAUUCUACCCGAUACCGACGUUAGGCGGGGCUUUUGGUCGCACCCGACCAAGUUGCCGUAACCCGAUAUGGUCGAUUCUAGAAUUAUUCCGAUAACUAUUAUGGAGUGUUAGAAUGAUUUCAAAUGGAAUUAAGACACCUAUUAAGUCAUUUUAGAUCAAUACAAGUUAAUGACUUAGUUAAAUGGCGAAAUCGGAAACGGAUUUGGAAACGACGUUUGGUUGAUGGAAUUGGAUUACAAUUUGAGUUACAAGAAGUGAUAUGAAAUUUCGGGUUGUUACAUGUUCCCGAAUCUUUACGUCGUGAAUAUCAAAGAUAUUGACAGCCGACUAACUUCUGUGUCACUCUUUAUUCAAGUACUCUUAUCAUACUUUCAUUGGAGUCUAUCUGAAACCUGCUUUAGUUAAGUCAUUGGACUAUAGUAAUUUAGCUCCGGAGACAUUUCCAAGUAUCUUUUAGAGGUUGGAUUUCGUAUUUUCACCAACCCACGAUACCUUGGCUUGAACGAAAAACGUCUUGAGACCAGUGCUCAAACUUACUUCCACUCAUCACUAGGACUGCAUCAUAUGGAUGUAGGUCAACCCUUCAUAAACACACCUCUACUCAGUAUUAGGACUGUAUCAUAGGGAUGUAGGUCAAACUUUCGAGAACAUAGUCGUACUCUUUACAUGAACAAUGUAAGUACAUCAAGGGUCAACCAGAAUCGCUCACAAAAUCCUUAUCUUUCGUGUUACAAAAUCAUGUCGUCAUCCGGAAGCAAUCAGUCGAACGGCGAAACCUCCGCCUUUCCUAUGGACGCUGCUACCUUUCAAAACAUAGUUACAGUUGCCGUGGUGGCUGCGGUAACUGCGGUCCUUGCACACCGUAGCGCUAUCAGCACAGUCAAUGCUGCUGAUGGGAAUGAAGUUUCCAAUCAUGGUAUCCAUCCAGGAAGUCGCCAAACAGUAACAGUCACAGGCUCGCAAAGUCGAAAAGCAGAGAACAAGAAACAAAAGUGUCAAGCCCGGAAAGAACGCAAGAGAUCCCAAAGGCUGGCGAUGCAACAACAUCAAGUGGAAACCCCUGCCACUCCCAUACCGAGCAGGCCAUAUGAGGGAAAACUCCCGAAGUGUGAUAAAUGUAGUUUCCAUCAUCAUGGGGCUUGCCAUGAGAUGCAAUGUUGCAAUUGCCUAAGCAUGGGGCACCAUGCUCGUGGCUGUGGAGCACCGGCACGACCCAUCACUCAAGUCCCUUUCAUCGGGACUAACCCUACACAUGAGAGUACUUAUAAAGCCGAACGCUUUAGGAAGCAAUUUUCAAAGUGGAGUAACGAGGAAGGCACUCGUGUCCACAUAACACUGGCUAAACACCGCAAUCCCGUCACAGUACUAGCCAGUCAUGCCACCAAUGCGGGGAGACGAGGCACUUCCAGAAGGAUUGCCCUAUAGCAAAGAACUCUGACGCAGAUGGGAGGAUUCUCAGGAUCACAGCUGCGGGAGAACCUGAUCUGGAACCCAUGUUAAUGUAAUUAAGGCGUUUUGUUGAAACAGACUUAUAAACUAUCCAGUUAUAGUGCAACUAGAGUCUUACGUUUUGUGAGAUCCUGUCAAUAUAAGGAUGCUCGUGCUGCGUAUAAUUGUCUUUUGUAGUAUACCUCAUUCGCAGCACUAGUCUUGUAGUAAGUCUAAAGUAUUGUAACUCUGUUGUUCGUUGCACUGUGGUGUUUGUCUGUAACGCCUUAUGUUCAAAUCUAAUGUCUUUAGUUUCUGUAUGAUUCCGACAUUAUCAUAUGACUGGAUUCAAUUUAAUCUUCACGAAAACAGCUUCAUGCAUACAUCUUUUUCUUCUAGAUCGCUUUCCCAGUGAAGCCGUCAUAUCAUAACACCCAAGUACUCAUACCAGGAGUACCUCUUAGUUAUUUUCUUUCCGAAGAAAUCCCCGAAGUACCACUCGUGCAAUACGUCAAGUUUAAUCCAAGGAUUCAUGCGAUUGAUCUAUCACUGAGGAAUGUAUACAUACGAGUGAUAUAUAAUCAAGGUUCUACAGGUUUAGAAUUGAUGAUUCCACUUUAACUUCUUUUUCCCCGAUGGGAUGUGAGCUUAAAGAAGAAUCAGUUAUUCGACUGCCUUUUCAAUCUUAAUUAUAUAGGACUCGUAUACACGAAAUUGUGAUUGGGAGACCAUGUAUGAAUUCUAAGAUGGACUUCAGGACGGAGAAAUGCUCAAGACUACGAGUAAUCACAUCGUCAUGUGAACAAACUUAGAACCCAGUAUGACUCCCGUAAACGGAUCGCCCUACAGCUUAAACACAUACAGAGACACAAGAACAGCCUGGACAACUUAGUGAACUACACAGAAAGAGAAUUAGAAGACUAGGCUUCUCACCCUGGAGAACCCCAGUCUUAUUCUCCCAGAGAUCGACGGAUUGCAUUGUAUGUGCCUCGGAUAUCGAGGACUCAGUCAAGAUUUUUCAUUAGAAAUCGUUAUCUCUGCCUCGCAUAGAUGAAAUGGAUGAGUAAACGCAAGGAAGGAAUUACUUCCAGAAAUGGAUAUGAGAUCCGAAUAUCACCAGUUUGAGUGUUAGGGAAGGAUGACGGGAAGACUAUCUUCCGAACUCGAUACGGACGCUUUGAGUCCGUAGUGAUACCCUUCGGAUAGAACCAAUACGCUCAUAGUUUUCAUGAGCUAAAUGAGUAGGGUAUGUCCUUCUUAUUUGCAUCAGUUCGUCAUUUCANUUCAUUAGAAAUCGUUAUCUCUGCCUCGCAUAGAUGAAAUGGAUGAGUAAACGCAAGGAAGGAAUUACUUCCAGAAAUGGAUAUGAGAUCCGAAUAUCACCAGUUUGAGUGUUAGGGAAGGAUGACGGGAAGACUAUCUUCCGAACUCGAUACGGACGCUUUGAGUCCGUAGUGAUACCCUUCGGAUAGAACCAAUACGCUCAUAGGUUUCAUGAGCUAAAUGAGUAGGGUAUGUCCUUCUUAUUUGCAUCAGUUCGUCAUUUCACCACGUAAUGACUUACUUAUCUACCCUCGUAGUAAGAAGGAACCCAUGGAAACAUUACCUUCAGAGGAACUUUUGCGAAGUUCUCUAAGCAAAAUUUUUGAAAUUAAAGAGUCAGGUUCCUAUGAGACACUGUUAGUGAUGUGGGAAAUUUUGAGUACUCUUACAAUUUGUCAAAACCGUUGAGAAUUUGUCGAAACCAGAGACGCCGACAAUCAUUCGUCAAAUUCUAGGUCUUACAGACCUACUGUCUUAGUUCAUCCAGAACCCCUCGCAAAUCACAGGAACCAUUUCGACUUUGACCCAGCAAGGGGUGGCCUUUGAUUGGGAACUAAAGCAAGAGAAGGAACCUUUGGAAUUCCAAGUGAGAGACCAAGUUCUUUUGGAAGUCUCACUCUGGGAACGGCUUAAUACGCUUCGUUAGCAUGGAAAGCUAAAUCCAAGAUAGAUAGGACCUCCGAGAUUCUUACCAGAAUCGGUCCUGUAUCUCACAAAAUAGAUCUACUCCGCGAACUCAAUAACGUACAUUCUACUCUUCGUAUCUCGAUCAUGAAACCAUACCUUUCCGGUAGGACUCUUGUAAGUCCACUCGUCGAGAUCCUCUCCUUCGUAUUAGGACCGUAGUGACCCUCGACCGAGAGGUCAAGCGGACGAAACAACGUCGUCGCCUGUUAGUGAAGGUUCGUUGGAAUGCCAACCGAGAACCCAAUUUCACUUAGGUUUGCUAGAACCAAUCGAUUUCGAAGUUUCCUCCUCACAAAUCAAUCAUUCGUACCUACUUCCUUAUCUAAAUUCUAAUUUUGGGACGAAAUUCCCUUCAACAGGGGGAUGAUGUGACAACCCGAAAUUUCCAUUCUGAACAAACCAUAUCAAGCCAAUAGAAGUAGAACAGUUACAGUGAAAAUUCAGACUUCGAGUAUAAGUUUGGCAGUUUUUCAAGAUUUAUACUUAUGGGGAUAUCAGAAGAGUGGAUGCACUAGGGUUUUGUGCAACACUGUUAUUCCAAUACUCUAGGAUAUUAGAGUUCAUUCCAGGAAUAAAGAUAUUUUCUGUUAAAAAUCUCAGGACUAUAUAUAGAAAUCUGAACCAAAUAGUUCAUUAGUUACAAUUCCAAUUAGAGAAAAUCAAAAUUCUCUCUCACGGAUCUUCGGGUUUUUAUCCCAAAUUGUGAGUACUUCGAUCUAGUUAUGUUAUAUAGCUUAGAUUGUGUUUAGAAACACCAAUUACAUAUCAAAUCUGUGAGACUCGGGAGUUUACCGCCCAAGAACGUUCUUGGGGAGUAAACUCCAAUAUGUGGCUUAAAUGCUACUUAGUCCUUUCCCCGUGAUUUGUAACUACCUUAGACUUGUAUGCUAGGGUGUAUAUGACUAGAAAACAUCAAAAUCGGAUCAAGAGCCCAAGAUUUGGGAGUUUACCGCCCAAGAACACUUGGGGAGUAAACUCCAUUUUAAGGGCCUAAGGUGUCCCAAAGUCCCUCAAAGCCAUGGAACUUAAACUAGAAGCCUCCAUUUCAUGUUUAGGACACCAAAACAAUUAAGAUUCAAGGGUAAUAGAGAGUUCACGGCCAAGGAGGUUCUUGGGUCGUGAACUCCAUUAAAUGGUGCCAAAUGGUACCAUAAAUCUUCCUAAAGCCUUGGACAUUUGCCUUGAUGGAUUCCUUGUUAAAUUAAAGGUUUCAAAACACCAUAAACCUUCCCCCAAGGGAGAUUACGGCCGUAAUCUCCAUGAGAUAUGGUCCCAGGGCCGUAAACUCCUCAAAGGAGUUAAUACGAAGCCCAAACACUUGAUUUAGCCUUGAAACAAUCACCAAACUANGUAUAAAUGAUAGGCUUCAUUUAGAGACCAUGUUGAGAGUUUACGGCCAGGAGUUUACUCCCCUGGGCUGUAAACUCCAAAACAUAUGGUCAUUUGACCAUAAACUCCCACUAGAGGUCUUGCACUCUUUCGUUGCAAACCAUUUGCCUCCUAGCACUUGAACAAAAGUGUUUUCCUCACAUUAAAAUGAUUAUACUUGUAUAAUUAGUGUUUUAACCACUAAUUAUCUAUAUACAUAUGUAUUCAUAUGUAAUUAGGAUCAUUGUGUGUGUCUAAAGUCUUCACUUGACACCAAGCACUUGUCCGAUCCUUCCUUACGAUAACAGGCCGUUCAAUUCCAGUCACUUACUUGAAGUGAGUUCAUACCCCUUAAUCAAUGAUUUAAAUGUUUUUAAAUGUUUUUAUGGGGGGGUACAAGUAGAAUCAUGCUAGUUAUUAUAUCAAUCACAUGUGAUUAAUAAAUAGCAUAUAAAUGAUUUGCUACACAUUAGCUGUUUUACGAAACAGUUGUUAUUUAAAGGAUUUUCAUAUACCUUUUAUAUGCUUAAAACUCCUGAUUUAAUUGUUCAUUAUACACUGUAUGUUUCAUUUCAAACUCAUUUACAAUUGUGUUUCAAACAAAUGGUUCUUUGUAUUUAAAGCUGUUUUGUUAGAUAAAGACUUCCAACCUGUCUUAUAGAUUGACAUCAAGUCGAUCUUUUCUUAGAUAGUAAUCCUGUUCAAAAGGUUUUACAAAACUUAUUUUAUGCUUUAUAUUGUCAAUUGCAUGCCUAUAUAUGUAGGGUUAUAUAAGAAAUAUUUGAUGAACUUAGGAAGGCUAUUCACCCUAUUUCCUCUUCGCGCUUGAGAUGUGGUCUGGUGGGAUAUCGGGUAUCUAUCCGAAGGUCGUUUAAAUAUUAGUUAUAUAGUCAUAAAGGUUCUUCCAGUUCAGUUCAAUACCCUUAGGUAGCAAGGGUACACAUCCAUGUUCAUACGUACCAGUUACAUUACUAGUAAGCUACCGUAUGGGUAGUUUAGGAAGAUACUAGGACUAUUACUAGAACGCGAUAUCAUACAAUGAGUCAGUUCAUUCAUGAGUCAAUACUUGCUAGAUAGAGGGAACAUACAUUACAGCUAGUACACACAGUACAUUACUAUACAUGCUAGAUAGAGAGAGA
RNAcentral lists this long non-coding RNA (19508 nucleotides) under Lactuca sativa (garden lettuce). Its description in RNAcentral is "long non-coding RNA (LSAT_LNC001190)". The record is from RNAcentral. Lineage: Eukaryota; Viridiplantae; Streptophyta; Magnoliopsida; Asterales; Asteraceae.